Molecule: ribosomal RNA, 253 nt
Filed under: uncultured bacterium
Lineage: Bacteria
Description: partial 16S ribosomal RNA
Rfam family: Bacterial small subunit ribosomal RNA
Source: RNAcentral
UACGAAGGGGGCUAGCGUUGUUCGGAAUUACUGGGCGUAAAGGGCGCGCAGGCGGCCCUUCAAGUCAGGCGUGAAAGCCCCGGGCUCAACCUGGGAACUGCGCUUGAGACUGGAGAGCUAGAGUUCGGGAGAGGAGAGUGGAAUUCCCAGUGUAGAGGUGAAAUUCGUAGAUAUUGGGAAGAACACCAGUGGCGAAGGCGGCUCUCUGGACCGAUACUGACGCUGAGGCGCGAAAGCGUGGGGAGCAAACAGG